GAUGCCCAUGAAGGGGGAAAAUAAGCAGGCAAAAAUCAAAAAACAGAAACCAACUCUCAAAACUCCAGCAGAGGGCAAUGAAGCUGUUAAUAUUUUGGAGUUGAUUGACCACCAGUUGAGACCCUGCAGUUCAUCAGUUGAGAGUGACAAUUCCAGAGUGACCAGCUGAGCAUGUAAUAAGAAGGAAACUGGAGAAAACCUCAACUACUUUAUGAUUAUUCCUAUGAUUUGUUCUUAAAGCAGAGAAGCAUCUUUUUAUUUGUUUUUGAUAUCCUUGUUUGAUGAAACUAGCAUCGUUUUAGAAAAAAGAUAAUUGUUUUAGUAAAAAUGACACAUACUCAUUGAAAAAAUAAACCCCUUCAAAACUG
RNAcentral lists this small RNA (368 nucleotides) under Pongo abelii (Sumatran orangutan). RNAcentral describes it as "processed transcript". The record is from RNAcentral. Lineage: Eukaryota; Metazoa; Chordata; Mammalia; Primates; Hominidae.